Molecule: long non-coding RNA, 788 nt
Filed under: Salmo salar (Atlantic salmon)
Lineage: Eukaryota; Metazoa; Chordata; Actinopteri; Salmoniformes; Salmonidae
Description: lncRNA (ENSSSAG00000088385.1)
Source: RNAcentral
GGAGGUGGUGGAACUGGUUGUUUUGGCACUGGUUAUUUUGGCGGUGGUGGAUCUGGUUAUUUUGGAGGUGGUGUAACUGGUUAUUUUGGAGGUGGUGGAACUGGUUAUUUUGGAGGUGGUGGAACUGGUUAUUUUGGAGAUGGUGGAACUGGUUAUUUUGGAGGUGGUGGAACUGGUUAUUUUGGAGGUGGUGGAACUGGUUGUUUUGGCACUGGUUAUUUUGGAGGUGGUGGAACUGGUUAUUUUGGAGGUGGUGGAACUGGUUAUUUUGGAGGUGGUGGAACUGGUUAUUUUGGAGGUGGUGGAACUGGUUAUUUUGGAGAUGGUGGAACUGGUUAUUUUGGAGGUGGUGUAACUGGUUAUUUUGGAGGUGGUGUAACUGGUUAUUUUGGAGGUGGUGUAACUGGUUAUUUUGGAGGUGGUGGAACUGGUUAUUUUGGCGGUGGUGGAACUGGUUAUUUUGGCGGUGGUGUAACUGGUUAUUUUGGCGGUGGUGGAACUAGUUAUUUUGGAGGUGGUUGAACUGGUUAUUUUGGAGGUGGUGUAACUGGUUAUUUUGGCGGUGGUUGAACUGGUUAUUUUGGAGGUGGUGGAACUGGUUAUUUUGGAGAUGGUGGAACUGGUUAUUUUGGAGGUGGUGUAACUUGUUAUUUUGAAGGUGGUGGAACUGGUUAUUUUGGAGGUGGUUGAACUGGUUAUUUUGGAGGUGGUGGAACUGGUUGUUUUGGCACUGGUUAUUUUGGCGGUGGUGGAACUGGUUAUUUUGGAGGUGGUGGAACUGGUUAUUU